Molecule: ribosomal RNA, 492 nt
Filed under: uncultured bacterium
Lineage: Bacteria
Description: partial 16S ribosomal RNA
Rfam family: Bacterial small subunit ribosomal RNA
Source: RNAcentral
AGUGAACGCUGGCGGUAGGCCUAACACAUGCAAGUCGAACGGCAGCACAGUAAGAGCUUGCUCUUACGGGUGGCGAGUGACGGACGGGUGAGGAAUACAUCGGAAUCUACUUUUUCGUGGGGGAUAACGUAGGGAAACUUACGCUAAUACCGCAUACGACCUACGGGUGAAAGCAGGGGAUCUUCGGACCUUUCGCGAUUGAAUGAGCCGAUGUCGGAUUAGCUAGUUGGCGGGGUAAAGGCCCACCAAGGCGACGAUCCGUAGCUGGUCUGAGAGGAUGAUCAGCCACACUGGAACUGAGACACGGUCCAGACUCCUACGGGAGGCAGCAGUGGGGAAUAUUGGACAAUGGGCGCAAGCCUGAUCCAGCCAUACCGCGUGGGUGAAGAAGGCCUUCGGGUUGUAAAGCCCUUUUGUUGGGAAAGAAAAGCAGCAGGUUAAUACCCCGCUGUUCUGACGGUACCCAAAGAAUAAGCACCGGCUAACUUCGUG